AUGGCGUUGGAGGCCGUGGUGUUCUCGAAAGGGUUCUUUGGGCGCUGCGCCAUGGCUGCUGAAGGAGUAGGAGGAGGCGGUGGCGUUUGGGGCGGGAAUGGCCACGGGCACGGCGGUGGCAUGGAGUUGGACGGAAGCAAUGCCCACUGCGGCGCCGCCGUUGCGAGCACCGAAGCCCCGGAAGGCAGUUCUUCCUUGCCGGCGCUGCCGCCGCCGGGGCACGGCAGUGACCCUGGAGGCGCGGACGACGGUGCCGUGGACGCGGCGUCGGCGUCAGGUGCAGCAGGGAGGAGGAAGCGGCGAAGAGCGAGGAGCGUGAAGAACAUUGAGGAGGCGGAGAGCCAGCGGAUGACCCACAUCGCCGUCGAGCGCAACCGCCGCAAGCAGAUGAACGAGUACCUUGGCGUGCUCCGGUCCCUCAUGCCGGCCUCCUAUGUGCACAGGGGCGACCAGGCAUCCAUAAUUGGCGGCGCAAUCAACUACGUCAAGGAGCUGGAGCAGCUAGUUCAAUCCCUGGAGGCGCACCGGCACGCCCGCCUCCGCGACGACUGUCCCGUCAGCGGCGACGUCGAUUCCGCGGCCGCAGUGCCCUUUUUAGACUUCUUCACCUUCCCGCAGUACACGAUGAGCGUGCGCCACGCCCCGGCCACACCAGCAGCAGGCGCUCUCGCGGACGACGGCGGCGGCAAUGCCGCCGACGACGACACGACGUCGGGCUCGAAGCAGUCGGCCGUGGCGGACAUCGAGGUGACCAUCGUGGAGAGCCACGCGAGCCUGAAGGUGCUGUCGCGGCGGCGGCCGACGCAGCUGCUGAGGAUCGUGGCGGGCCUGCAGGGCCACCGGCUCGCCGUGCUGCACCUCAACGCCACCAGCGCCGGCCACAUGGCCCUCUACUGCCUCAGCCUCAAGGUGGAAGACGACUGCCGGCUCUCGUCGGUGGCCGACAUCGCCGCGGCGGUCCACCGUAUCCUCGAGACGAUCGAGCGUGAGGAGGAGGAGGAGCGGCGGCAGCAGCAGAGCUGUACGUAG
RNAcentral lists this ribosomal RNA (1029 nucleotides) under Triticum aestivum (bread wheat). Its description in RNAcentral is "partial small subunit ribosomal RNA". Lineage: Eukaryota; Viridiplantae; Streptophyta; Magnoliopsida; Poales; Poaceae. The record is from RNAcentral.